RNAcentral lists this ribosomal RNA (464 nucleotides) under uncultured bacterium. RNAcentral describes it as "partial 16S ribosomal RNA". It matches the Rfam family "Bacterial small subunit ribosomal RNA", at positions 339 to 795 of the family's 1533-position model. The record is from RNAcentral.
CUACGGGUGGCAGCAGUGGGGAAUAUUGCACAAUGGGCGCAAGCCUGAUGCAGCCAUGCCGCGUGUAUGAAGAAGGCCUUCGGGUUGUAAAGUACUUUCAGCGGGGAGGAAGGGAGUAAAGUUAAUACCUUUGCUCAUUGACGUUACCCGCAGAAGAAGCACCGGCUAACUCCGUGCCAGCAGCCGCGGUAAUACGGAGGGUGCAAGCGUUAAUCGGAAUUACUGGGCGUAAAGCGCACGCAGGCGGUUUGUUAAGUCAGAUGUGAAAUCCCCGGGCUCAACCUGGGAACUGCAUCUGAUACUGGCAAGCUUGAGUCUCGUGGAGGGGGGUAGAAUUCCAGGUGUAGCGGUGACAUGCGUAGAGAUCUGGAGGAAUACCGGUGGCGAAGGCGGCCCCCUGGACGAAGACUGACGCUCAGGUGCGAAAGCGUGGGGAGCAAACAGGAUUAGAUACCCUUGUAGUC